ACGCCCAUACUCACUUCUGUAAGGCUUUCAUAGUAGGGCUUUUUGGGCAUGUCCUGGGGUAGUUUUAUGACCCUUGAGGUAGUGUGACCCUUCCCCUGCACCAUGAACCUAAAGAAACACAUUUGACGAGGCUUUGGGAGGAGUUUUUGGCAUUCCCACGGAUAGUUCUGGCACGUGAGGAAGGGCGUCAGAUGGUACAUGGCGGACACGUUCUUUUCCUGCACAGAAGGGCACACACACACACACACACACACGCACACACAGAAAAAGGCUUUCAAAGUACGGCCUUUCUUUCCGUACUUUCUUGCGCAAAAAAUACAUGAAAGAGGUCGUUAAAAAUAACAGAAAAGUGCUCACCCUUCCUCUUGUAUGCACUUUGUUAGGCACUUUUCUGUGUUUUAAAAGCAUGUACAGCAGGUGACCCUUUUCAACUGGACCGUAAUUCAGUGGUUCGCCAGACACACCCAGUUGUCAAUAUGCAGAUUUACCCCGUCUCCACACUACUAAACGUGGUACUGUGUCAUUGUAUUACCAGCUCAUUAUUACAACUCUGAACAACGGUCCGUUCUCUCAUGUGGGACACACUGGUUCGUCCAACGUCCACACUCUGGGUGACCAAUAAGGAGGGUAACCGUUGUGGUGUGGCUGGUGGAGUGUGCCGCUCCUCCACCAAGACCUGGCUCACUCUCCACCCUUUAACCAGGCCAGGCAAUCCCUCCCACAUGAUUCUCAUUUAGAUAUCGCUGAGAGCCAUGACUGGCAUAAUGGUUGGUCUGUGGUAUUGACUCCAUAUCCUGACCACUUAGUUAGCCUUGAAAUAAGGGAGUUGUAUGCAGAAAUUAUGGAGCGCUUGAACCAGUGAGUGUGAUGAUUUCUAGUGAGCAUCUCCGUGGGGCGGCAACGCUAUUGUUCAAUGGUGUCUGGCAUUUACAGCUUCUUGUUUACCACCAGUUAGGUGAGUGUAGGAAAUGAUUGAGGUGUUACUUACAGGGUUAAGGAUCAUGAAAAUAUUACAGCCUCUUGUUUACCAGCAGUUAGGUGAGUGUAGGAAAUGAUUGAGGUGUUACUUACAGGGUUAAGGAUCAUGAAAAUAUUACAGCCUCUUGUUUACCUGCAGUUAGGUGAGUGUAGGAAAUGAUUGAGGUGUUACUUACAGGGUUAAGGAUCAUGAAAAUAUUACAGCCUCUUGUUUACCUGCAGUUAGGUGAGUGUAGGAAAUGAUUGAGGUGUUACUUACAGGGUUAAGGAUCAUGAAAAUAUUACAGCCUCUUGUUUACCUGCAGUUAGGUGAGUGUAGGAAAUGAUUGAGGUGUUACUUACAGGGUUAAGGAUCAUGAAAAUAUUACAGCCUCUUGUUUACCUGCAGUUAGGUGAGUGUAGGAAAUGAUUGAGGUGUUACUUACAGGGUUAAGGAUCAUGAAAAUAUUACAGCCUCUUGUUUACCAGCAGUUAGGUGAGUGUAGGAAAUGAUUGAGGUGUUACAGGGUUAACCCGGUAACAGCGACGGGCCAAAUCUGUGGCUUUACUGUGUAGCAGCGACGGGCCAAGUUUGUGGCUUUACCGUGUAGCAGCGACGGGCCAAAUUUGUGGCUUUACCGUGUAGCAGCGAUGGGCCAAAUUUGUGGCUUUACUGUGUAGCAGCGACGGGCCAAAUUUGUGGCUUUACCGUGUAGCAGCGAUGGGCCAAAUUUGUGGCUUUACUGUGUAGCAGCGACGGGCCAAAUUUGUGGCUUUACCGUGUAGCAGCGACGGGCCAAAUUUGGGGCUUUACCGCGUAGCAGCAAGGGGCCAAAUUUGGGGCUUUACCGUGUAGCAGCGAUGGGCCAAAUUUGUGCCAUGAUAUAAACCCCCCAAAUUAUAUGAUACAUAAUCUGAUCACAAAUGUUUUGAUAUAUAUUAUUAAAUGGUUUGUGUGAGGGGUGAUUUUUUCUCAUUUUUCUCGCUUGGAGGGACCAUUAACCCUUUCAUUGCUAAAUGCUGGCAGCAAGCGUAAGGCGUAUUUGCUGGCGUUGUUAAACACUCGCUGCGAGCUCCAGCCGCACUCAAAUCUCCCACGGAUGAGUGUGUUCCAACACUGAUUCUCACAACACAGGAUUGCCAAUUGAGUGUGUUCUUCACUAAAUUUGGUGGAAAAUCAUGUCAGCCCAGCGCGGCAAAUCUGCGGACGAGCAACUGGUGGAUGUUGUUGACCAAUGUAGCGACAUUUUUGCAUAGUUUCACAUGACUGAUAUUUUGAUCAAAUAGUUGUAAAUAUUGCAGUUGUCAAUACUGCCCUGCCAGCACCCCAUCAUCAAGAGAUCUACAGUAGUUGCCUUACAGCUGACCGUCGCGCAUGUAUAAAUGUACGUCUUCACAGGCAACACCCCCUCAACGUGCCUGUACUUUCGCAGGAGAGGUUUACAUUACUGAAUUGUAUAGAUCUUGGCCUCCUCUUUCCAAUGGUGUUUUUGUUUUGUAACUGUGAUGAAUAGUUUUUGAGAUAUAGCAGUUAAAAGAGAUGCCCCGCUGGGGUGCCCGAGCGUGCCUGAGGGGAUAGUCUCGCUGCGAGCGCUUAGCAAUGAAAGGAUUAACCCUUCCUAUGUACCAUAAACCUAAAAGAAACACUCAAUAGAACCUAAUUAUUCUCCUUUUUGGCCUUUGGA
This is a long non-coding RNA of Eriocheir sinensis (Chinese mitten crab), 2642 nucleotides long. RefSeq lists it as uncharacterized. NCBI's taxonomy places the organism in Eukaryota, Metazoa, Arthropoda, Malacostraca, Decapoda, Varunidae. The transcript is spliced from 6 exons. The record is from RefSeq and is a predicted model, not a curated record.